GCCGUGCCACACAUCCGCCUGUUUACCAUCGCACCCAUUGGGUACGAUGGUAGCCGUGCCACACAUCCGCCUGUUUACCAUCGCACCCAUUGGGUACGAUGGUAGCCGUGCAACACAUCCGCCUGUUUACCAUCGCACCCAUUGGGUACGAUGGUAGCCGUGCCACACAUCCGCCUUUUUACCAUCGCACCCAUUGGAUACGAUGGUAGCCGUGCCACACAUCCGCCUGUUUACCAUCGCACCCAUUGGGUGCGAUGGUAGCCGUGCCACACAUCCGCCUAUUUACCAUCGCACCCAUUGGGUGCGAUGGUAGCCGCGCCACACAUCCGCCUUUUUACCAUCGCACCCAUUGGGUACGAUGGUAGCCGUGCCACACAUCCGCCUGUUUACCAUCGCCGCCUUUUUACCAUCGCACCCAUUGGGUACGAUGGUAGCCGUGCCACACAUCCGCCUGUUUACCAUCGCACCCAUUGGGUACGAUGGUAGCCGCGCCACACAUCCGCCUUUUUACCAUCGCACCCAUUGGGUACGAUGGUAGCCGUGCCACACAUCCGCCUGUUUACCAUCGCCGCCUGUUUACCAUCGCACCCAUUGGGUACGAUGGUAGCCGUGCCACACAUCUGCUUUUUUACCAUCGCACCCAUUGGGUACGAUGGUAGCCGCGCCACACAUCCGCCUUUUUACCAUCUCACCCAUUGGGUACGAUGGUAGCCGUGCCACACAUCCGCCUGUUUACCAUUGCUGCCUGUUUACCAUCGCACCCAUUGGGUACGAUGGUAGCCGUGCCACACAUCCGCCUGUUUACCAUCGCACCCAUUGGGUACGAUGGUAGCCGCGCCACACAUCCGCCUGUUUACCAUCGCACCCAUUGGGUGCGAUGGUAGCCGUGCCACACAUCCGCCUGUUUACCAUCGCCGCCUGUUUACCAUCGCACCCAUUGGGUACGAUGGUAGCCGCGCCACACAUCCGCCUUUUUACCAUCGCACCCAUUGGGUACGAUGGUAGCCGUGCCACACAUCCGCCUGUUUACCAUCGCCGCCUGUUUACCAUCGCACCCAUUGGGUACGAUGGUAGCCGUGN
Molecule: long non-coding RNA, 1080 nt
Filed under: Volvox carteri
Lineage: Eukaryota; Viridiplantae; Chlorophyta; Chlorophyceae; Chlamydomonadales; Volvocaceae
Description: long non-coding RNA (VCAR_LNC004219)
Source: RNAcentral